Molecule: ribosomal RNA, 497 nt
Filed under: uncultured bacterium
Lineage: Bacteria
Description: partial 16S ribosomal RNA
Rfam family: Bacterial small subunit ribosomal RNA
Source: RNAcentral
GAUGAACGCUGGCGGCGUGCCUAAUACAUGCAAGUCGAGCGAACAGACGAGGAGCUUGCUCCUCUGACGUUAGCGGCGGACGGGUGAGUAACACGUGGAUAACCUACCUAUAAGACUGGGAUAACUUCGGGAAACCGGAGCUAAUACCGGAUAAUAUAUUGAACCGCAUGGUUCAAUAGUGAAAGACGGUUUUGCUGUCACUUAUAGAUGGAUCCGCGCCGCAUUAGCUAGUUGGUAAGGUAACGGCUUACCAAGGCAACGAUGCGUAGCCGACCUGAGAGGGUGAUCGGCCACACUGGAACUGAGACACGGUCCAGACUCCUACGGGAGGCAGCAGUAGGGAAUCUUCCGCAAUGGGCGAAAGCCUAACGGAGCAACGCCGCGUGAGUGAUGAAGGUCUUCGGAACGUAAAACUCUGUUAUUAGGGAAGAACAAAUGUGUAAGUAACUAUGCACGUCUUGACGAUACCAAAUCAGAAAGCCACGGAUAACUACGUG